RNAcentral lists this transfer RNA (91 nucleotides) under Azospirillum brasilense. RNAcentral describes it as "tRNA-Ser". Lineage: Bacteria; Pseudomonadati; Pseudomonadota; Alphaproteobacteria; Rhodospirillales; Azospirillaceae. The record is from RNAcentral.
GGCGGUGAUGGGAAGUGGCGUUGACGGGUUUGCUAAACCGUUAUAGGGGCUCAAACCCCUAUCGUGGGUUCGAAUCCCAUCCCCUCCGCCA